Molecule: long non-coding RNA, 1026 nt
Organism: Octopus sinensis (East Asian common octopus)
Lineage: Eukaryota; Metazoa; Mollusca; Cephalopoda; Octopoda; Octopodidae
Exons: 2
Source: RefSeq, a predicted model, not a curated record
AUCAAUUAGAAACUUUCAAGCUAACUUUCCAGUGCUCUAAAAGUCCUCAAGAUCUAUUAUUUAUAAAAAUCUACCUUCCAACUGCCGAUCACUAUGAUCAAGCUGUAAUCUUGACUUAAGCACAUGGCUAGGAUGAACAUCUGUUGUAAUCACAUGCACAAUGGAAUCGGAAACUUUCAAGCUGACUUUUCAAUACUCUAAAAAGUCCCCAAGAUCUAUUAUUUUUUAAAAUCUAUCUGCCCAGUAAAGUGAAAGGCAAAUGAGCAGGGGAGGCAGAGGGGCAAGAAGUCGCUUUAGCUUUUGUCUUUCCAAGGACUUGGCAACGUUUCUAGAGCUGAUGCUAUGAUGAAAUGCACCCAUUACACUCUGCAAAAUGGUUGAUGUUAAGAAAGGCAUCCAGUUACAGGAAAAAAAUCCAAAAUUAUGUGUAUAAGUAUCAGACUAUGAGAGCAAUAGUUCCUAAUAAGAACUGACUUUGAUCAUGAUGACCAGUACAACCCAUGCCAGCAUGGAAAACAGAUGUAAAGUGACGAUGAUCUACCUUGAAAGGAUGAAAAGCAAAGUUGACCCCAGCAAAAUUUAAACUCAGAACGUUAUAUUAUGAUUAUUAUUGAGAAAUGCUAUCUUUCCUGACUGAUUAUCUCUCAUUUGGGGAACCAGAAAUAUACACAUAAGAAGAAGGAGACUGCUAAAUAAUAAAACGGAGGAAAAAGUGGUGAAAGCUGGGACAAGAUGCUGAACCUCAUGCAACAAAUGGCAAGGCCACUCCAACCCAUACAAUCACGGAGAAACGAACAUAAAAUGAUGAAGAUGAUUUGUAUAGUGUUUGUUCAGAAUUACGUUAUAAUGUUGUCUCUUUGUUGCCUUUGUGAUGAACAAAGAAAUUGCUAUGAAACAUACAGUAGCAUGCUGAUUAAAUGAAAUGCAGUAUUUAGUUUCGAGUUUUUGUUGUUUUUUAAUGCUCUGAUUCUAAUUCUGACGGAGUCAGCAUAGUUUUGACUUCGUUAAAUAGUCGAUAGAAUUACC